UACGUAGGGUGCAAGCGUUAAUCGGAAUUACUGGGCGUAAAGCGUGCGCAGGCGGUUCGGAAAGAGAGGUGUGAAAUCCCAGGGCUCAACCUUGGAACUGCACUUUUAACUACCGAGCUAGAGUAUGUCAGAGGGGGGUGGAAUUCCGCGUGUAGCAGUGAAAUGCGUAGAUAUGCGGAGGAACACCGAUGGCGAAGGCAGCCCCCUGGGAUAAUACUGACGCUCAUGCACGAAAGCGUGGGGAGCAAACAGG
This 253-nucleotide ribosomal RNA is filed under the name uncultured bacterium. RNAcentral describes it as "partial 16S ribosomal RNA". It matches the Rfam family "Bacterial small subunit ribosomal RNA", at positions 524 to 776 of the family's 1533-position model. The record is from RNAcentral.